Molecule: ribosomal RNA, 167 nt
Filed under: uncultured bacterium
Lineage: Bacteria
Description: partial 16S rRNA
Rfam family: Bacterial small subunit ribosomal RNA
Source: RNAcentral
UAGGGAAUCUUCCACAAUGGACGAAAGUACUGAUGGAGCAACGCCGCGUGAGUGAAGAAGGGUUUCGGCUCGUAAACUCUGUUGUUAAAGAAGAACAUAUCUGAGAGUAACUGUUCAGGUAUUGACGGUAUUUAACCAGAAAGCCACGGCUAACUACGUGCCACCAG